Haliotis rubra (blacklip abalone) is the source of this 592-nucleotide long non-coding RNA. RefSeq lists it as uncharacterized. The transcript has 3 exons. Lineage: Eukaryota; Metazoa; Mollusca; Gastropoda; Lepetellida; Haliotidae. The record is from RefSeq and is a predicted model, not a curated record.
CUGUUUACAGCUGAGAAGAUGGUAUCCAACGGGAAGGAGUACCACAGGGCCUGCCACAGAUGUGAACGCUGCAAGAAGACGCUUGCUGCUGGCAAUGGGAACGAGCAUGCCGGCAAAUUAUAUUGUGCUAACCCCUGUUAUGCAGCGCUGUUCGGACCAGGAGGUGUCAGGAGUGGAUCUGGAACGGCUGGCAGCGCUCAGUACGACUGAGAGAUAUCAAUACUAACAUUACUUCACACUUUACCCAAUAGUAAAGUCUGUCGUGUAGCUAACUCUACAUCCAAUGCAUAUUAGAAUUUACAGACUUAUACUUUACAUUAUAUUUUUACCCCCAGAAAAUCUUUACAAUAACGACAGCAAUAUCACGAUGCAAUUACAUGUUUGUGGCGUCCUUGUCGGUAAAAGAGAAAGUUUAGGUCUUAAAGACUGUUAUAUAUUAUUCGCUACUGUCACGUUUUAAUUGUUACAAAUUAAAUCAUGUUUGUGUACAAUGACCUGACAUACGUUAUGUUUCCAUGUUUAAAUUUUCAAAUUAUAUAUUUCUUUGUUUGAAAGAGACAUUUGUCAGAAUAAAGCUAAUAUUCUCAUCGAA